RNAcentral lists this ribosomal RNA (398 nucleotides) under uncultured bacterium. RNAcentral's name for it is "bacterial SSU rRNA". It matches the Rfam family "Bacterial small subunit ribosomal RNA", at positions 109 to 518 of the family's 1533-position model. The record is from RNAcentral.
AGUAACGCGUGAGCAACCUGUCCUGCAGAGGGGGACGAACAACGGGAAACCGUUGCUAAUACCGCAUAAGACCACGGUCUCGCAUGGGGCUGAGGUAAAAGGAGAAAUCCGCUGCAGGAGGGGCUCGCGUCCCAUUAGAUAGUUGGUGAGGUAACGGCUCACCAAGUCAGCGAUGGGUAGCCGGACUGAGAGGUUGAACGGCCACACUGGGACUGAGACACGGCCCAGACUCCUACGGGAGGCAGCAGUGGGGAAUAUUGGGCAAUGGGCGCAAGCCCUGACCCAGCAACGCCGCGUGAAGGAAGAAGGUCUUCGGAUUGUAAACUUCUGUCAUUGGGGACGAAGGAAGUGACGGUACCCAAUGAGGAAGCCCCGGCUAACUACGUGCCAGCCGCCGC